AAUAUUUGACCAUUGGCGAAAGCCUGAUCCAGCCAAGCCGCGUUCAGGGUUUCGGUCCUAUGGAUUGUAAACUGCUUUUGUACCGGAAGAAAAAACGCCACGUGUAGAUUCUUGACCGUACUGUAAUAAUAAGGAUCGGCUACCUCCGACCCAGUAGCCUCGGUAAUACGGAGGAUCCAAGCGUUAUCCGGAAUCAUUGGGUUUAAAGGGUCCGUAGGCGGCCUUAUAAGUCAGCGGUGAAAGUUUUUGGCUUAACCAAAAAAUUGCCGUUGAUACUGUAGGGCUUGAAUUUUUGUGAAGUGACUAGAAUAUGUAGUGUAGCGGUGAAAUGCUUAGAUAUUACAUGGAAUACCAAUUGCGAAGGCAGGUUACUAACAAACGAUUGACGCUGAUGGACGAAAGCGUGGGUAGCGAACA
Molecule: ribosomal RNA, 417 nt
Filed under: uncultured bacterium
Lineage: Bacteria
Description: partial 16S ribosomal RNA
Rfam family: Bacterial small subunit ribosomal RNA
Source: RNAcentral